RNAcentral lists this ribosomal RNA (450 nucleotides) under Amphiagrion abbreviatum. Its description in RNAcentral is "partial 16S ribosomal RNA". It matches the Rfam family "Bacterial large subunit ribosomal RNA", at positions 1926 to 2585 of the family's 2925-position model. The record is from RNAcentral. Lineage: Eukaryota; Metazoa; Arthropoda; Insecta; Odonata; Coenagrionidae.
AACGGCCGCGGUAUAUUGACCGUGCAAAGGUAGCAUAAUCAUUAGUCUUUUAAUAGAAGGCUGGAAUGAAAGGUUUAACGAGAAAUUAUCUGUCUCAAUUACAAACUUGAAUUUAUCUUUUAAGUCAAAAGACUUAAAUGUAAUUGAAGGACGAGAAGACCCUAUAGAGCUUUACAUUCUUAUUUUAUGAAUUUAUGUAGUUUAUAAUUUUAAUUUAUUUUAAAGAUUGUUUUGUUGGGGUGACAAUAAAUAUAAAAUCAACUUUUAUCAUAUUAUAAACAUUAAUACAUGAUUUUAUGGAUCCAAAAUUUUUGAUCAUUAGAUUAAGUUACCUUAGGGAUAACAGCGUAAUCUUCCUCCAGAGUUCAUAUUUACGGGAAGGGUUGCGACCUCGAUGUUGGAUUAAGAUAAUAAUUAGGUGCAGCAGCUUAAUUGAUAGGUCUGUUCGAC